RNAcentral lists this ribosomal RNA (253 nucleotides) under uncultured bacterium. RNAcentral describes it as "partial 16S ribosomal RNA". It matches the Rfam family "Bacterial small subunit ribosomal RNA", at positions 524 to 776 of the family's 1533-position model. The record is from RNAcentral.
CACGUAGGGCGCAAGCGUUGUCCGGAAUUAUUGGGCGUAAAGAGCUCGUAGGCGGUCUGUUACGUCUGCUGUGAAAACCCGGGGCUUAACCCUGGGCUUGCAGUGGAUACGGGCAGACUAGAGGCAGGUAGGGGAGAAUGGAAUUCCCGGUGUAGCGGUGAAAUGCGCAGAUAUCGGGAGGAACACCGGUGGCGAAGGCGGUCCUCUGGGCCUGACCUGACGCUGAGGAGCGAAAGCGUGGGGAGCGAACAGG